This 2851-nucleotide ribosomal RNA is filed under the name Escherichia coli O111:NM str. 2010C-4746. RNAcentral describes it as "bacterial LSU rRNA". It matches the Rfam family "Bacterial large subunit ribosomal RNA". The record is from RNAcentral. Lineage: Bacteria; Pseudomonadati; Pseudomonadota; Gammaproteobacteria; Enterobacterales; Enterobacteriaceae.
GGGUUGUGAGGUUAAGCGACUAAGCGUACACGGUGGAUGCCCUGGCAGUCAGAGGCGAUGAAGGACGUGCUAAUCUGCGAUAAGCGUCGGUAAGGUGAUAUGAACCGUUAUAACCGGCGAUUUCCGAAUGGGGAAACCCAGUGUGUUUCGACACACUAUCAUUAACUGAAUCCAUAGGUUAAUGAGGCGAACCGGGGGAACUGAAACAUCUAAGUACCCCGAGGAAAAGAAAUCAACCGAGAUUCCCCCAGUAGCGGCGAGCGAACGGGGAGGAGCCCAGAGCCUGAAUCAGUGUGUGUGUUAGUGGAAGCGUCUGGAAAGGCGCGCGAUACAGGGUGACAGCCCCGUACACAAAAAUGCACAUGCUGUGAGCUCGAUGAGUAGGGCGGGACACGUGGUAUCCUGUCUGAAUAUGGGGGGACCAUCCUCCAAGGCUAAAUACUCCUGACUGACCGAUAGUGAACCAGUACCGUGAGGGAAAGGCGAAAAGAACCCCGGCGAGGGGAGUGAAAAAGAACCUGAAACCGUGUACGUACAAGCAGUGGGAGCACAGAGCAAUCUGUGUGACUGCGUACCUUUUGUAUAAUGGGUCAGCGACUUAUAUUCUGUAGCAAGGUUAACCGAAUAGGGGAGCCGAAGGGAAACCGAGUCUUAACUGGGCGUUAAGUUGCAGGGUAUAGACCCGAAACCCGGUGAUCUAGCCAUGGGCAGGUUGAAGGUUGGGUAACACUAACUGGAGGACCGAACCGACUAAUGUUGAAAAAUUAGCGGAUGACUUGUGGCUGGGGGUGAAAGGCCAAUCAAACCGGGAGAUAGCUGGUUCUCCCCGAAAGCUAUUUAGGUAGCGCCUCGUGAAUUCAUCUCCGGGGGUAGAGCACUGUUUCGGCAAGGGGGUCAUCCCGACUUACCAACCCGAUGCAAACUGCGAAUACCGGAGAAUGUUAUCACGGGAGACACACGGCGGGUGCUAACGUCCGUCGUGAAGAGGGAAACAACCCAGACCGCCAGCUAAGGUCCCAAAGUCAUGGUUAAGUGGGAAACGAUGUGGGAAGGCCCAGACAGCCAGGAUGUUGGCUUAGAAGCAGCCAUCAUUUAAAGAAAGCGUAAUAGCUCACUGGUCGAGUCGGCCUGCGCGGAAGAUGUAACGGGGCUAAACCAUGCACCGAAGCUGCGGCAGCGACGCUGAUGCGUUGUUGGGUAGGGGAGCGUUCUGUAAGCCUGUGAAGGUGUGCUGUGAGGCAUGCUGGAGGUAUCAGAAGUGCGAAUGCUGACAUAAGUAACGAUAAAGCGGGUGAAAAGCCCGCUCGCCGGAAGACCAAGGGUUCCUGUCCAACGUUAAUCGGGGCAGGGUGAGUCGACCCCUAAGGCGAGGCCGAAAGGCGUAGUCGAUGGGAAACAGGUUAAUAUUCCUGUACUUGGUGUUACUGCGAAGGGGGGACGGAGAAGGCUAUGUUGGCCGGGCGACGGUUGUCCCGGUUUAAGCGUGUAGGCUGGUUUUCCAGGCAAAUCCGGAAAACUAAGGCUGAGGCGUGAUGACGAGGCACUACGGUGCUGAAGCAACAAAUGCCCUGCUUCCAGGAAAAGCCUCUAAGCAUCAGGUAACAUCAAAUCGUACCCCAAACCGACACAGGUGGUCAGGUAGAGAAUACCAAGGCGCUUGAGAGAACUCGGGUGAAGGAACUAGGCAAAAUGGUGCCGUAACUUCGGGAGAAGGCACGCUGAUAUGUAGGUGAAGUCCCUCGCGGAUGGAGCUGAAAUCAGUCGAAGAUACCAGCUGGCUGCAACUGUUUAUUAAAAACACAGCACUGUGCAAACACGAAAGUGGACGUAUACGGUGUGACGCCUGCCCGGUGCCGGAAGGUUAAUUGAUGGGGUCAGCGCAAGCGAAGCUCUUGAUCGAAGCCCCGGUAAACGGCGGCCGUAACUAUAACGGUCCUAAGGUAGCGAAAUUCCUUGUCGGGUAAGUUCCGACCUGCACGAAUGGCGUAAUGAUGGCCAGGCUGUCUCCACCCGAGACUCAGUGAAAUUGAACUCGCUGUGAAGAUGCAGUGUACCCGCGGCAAGACGGAAAGACCCCGUGAACCUUUACUAUAGCUUGACACUGAACAUUGAGCCUUGAUGUGUAGGAUAGGUGGGAGGCUUUGAAGUGUGGACGCCAGUCUGCAUGGAGCCGACCUUGAAAUACCACCCUUUAAUGUUUGAUGUUCUAACGUUGACCCGUAAUCCGGGUUGCGGACAGUGUCUGGUGGGUAGUUUGACUGGGGCGGUCUCCUCCUAAAGAGUAACGGAGGAGCACGAAGGUUGGCUAAUCCUGGUCGGACAUCAGGAGGUUAGUGCAAUGGCAUAAGCCAGCUUGACUGCGAGCGUGACGGCGCGAGCAGGUGCGAAAGCAGGUCAUAGUGAUCCGGUGGUUCUGAAUGGAAGGGCCAUCGCUCAACGGAUAAAAGGUACUCCGGGGAUAACAGGCUGAUACCGCCCAAGAGUUCAUAUCGACGGCGGUGUUUGGCACCUCGAUGUCGGCUCAUCACAUCCUGGGGCUGAAGUAGGUCCCAAGGGUAUGGCUGUUCGCCAUUUAAAGUGGUACGCGAGCUGGGUUUAGAACGUCGUGAGACAGUUCGGUCCCUAUCUGCCGUGGGCGCUGGAGAACUGAGGGGGGCUGCUCCUAGUACGAGAGGACCGGAGUGGACGCAUCACUGGUGUUCGGGUUGUCAUGCCAAUGGCACUGCCCGGUAGCUAAAUGCGGAAGAGAUAAGUGCUGAAAGCAUCUAAGCACGAAACUUGCCCCGAGAUGAGUUCUCCCUGACUCCUUGAGAGUCCUGAAGGAACGUUGAAGACGACGACGUUGAUAGGC